This 248-nucleotide ribosomal RNA is filed under the name uncultured bacterium. RNAcentral describes it as "partial 16S ribosomal RNA". It matches the Rfam family "Bacterial small subunit ribosomal RNA", at positions 523 to 769 of the family's 1533-position model. The record is from RNAcentral.
AUACGUAGGUGGCAAGCGUUGUCCGGAUUUACUGGGCGUAAAGAGUAUGUAGGUCGGAUAUUUAAGUCAGAUGUGAAAUUCCCGGGCUUAACCUGGGAGCUGCAUUUGAUACUGGAUAUCUAGAGUGCGGGAGAGGAAAGUGGAACUCCUAGUGUAGCGGUGAAAUGCGUAGAGAUUAGGAAGAACACCAGUGGCGAAGGCGACUUUCUGGACCGUAACUGACGCUGAGGCUCGAAAGCGUGGGGAGC